This 165-nucleotide ribosomal RNA is filed under the name Youngia gracilipes. RNAcentral describes it as "5.8S ribosomal RNA". It matches the Rfam family "5.8S ribosomal RNA". Rfam says of the family: 5.8S ribosomal RNA (5.8S rRNA) is a component of the large subunit of the eukaryotic ribosome. It is transcribed by RNA polymerase I as part of the 45S precursor that also contains 18S and 28S rRNA. Lineage: Eukaryota; Viridiplantae; Streptophyta; Magnoliopsida; Asterales; Asteraceae. The record is from RNAcentral.
ACAAACGACUCUCGGCAACGGAUAUCUCGGCUCAUGCAUCGAUGAAGAACGUAGCAAAAUGCGAUACUUGGUGUGAAUUGCAGAAUCCCGUGAACCAUCGAGUUUUUGAACGCAAGUUGCGCCCAAAGCCAUCCGGCUAAGGGCACGCCUGCCUGGGCGUCACGC